CGCCCCUUGAUAAUAUUUAUAAUUCACUUGUUGCAUAUUGGUUUCAUAUAUCAUUUUUCUCAAUUAGGAAAUGAAAGAUGAUUAGUUUCCCCUUUGGAUUAUUUAGCCUAUAAAAUUUUCUGUUACACCAUUUGCUUUACAUUGAAAAUGCAUCCUAAAUCCUGAACCACAUUGGAAUUCUUUAUGACCUUUCCCUUGGUGGUACCUUUUGAAGUCCUGAAAUGUUUUUAUAUUUGAUUGAAAUUUAAUCUGGGUUUCAUUUUACUUUUUAAAACAUAUUGAGCAAGUUAAUUUUCUCUUCGAGUUCCUAAGGGGAAUGAUUCUAGCCCUCUGUGUCCCAAGAAUUCAGACUGAGCCUUGCCAGAACAUUCCUGUGGUUUUCCACAGGGCAGAUCACUGUGUUCAUGAAAUUUUAGUUGUAGCUUGUGUUUUCUGCGGUUAAUUAAAACAUCUGGCUCUUUCAUUUUCCACGAACAGAAUAUAAUCGCUUGGCUGAACAUUUUCAAUAACGAUUAAAUGCCUCAGUCCUCCUUUAGGAUAGCCCAAACUUGUCUUUCGGACACCUUAUACGCUGUUGUCUCUGUUCAUUAAUGAUUUUAAACAGUUGGAAAACAUUUGGGGUUAUCCUGCCAAAUGUAGACUCUUGAGAGGGAGAAGGGGAGAGAGAGAGAGAGAGAGUUUGUGAAUACGAAUCCCUCUAAUGGCCUGGCUUUUCCAGAGAGAUAGAUAGAGAGAGAGAGAGUUUGUGAAUACAGAUCUCUCCAGUGGCUCUGGCUUUUCCAGAAAGAGAGAGAGAGAGUGAGUUUGUGAAUAUGAAUCCCUCCAAUGGCUCUGGCUUUUCCCCUGCAGGUCGGAGCUGCUGUGGGUGCGCUGCUGUGGUCUGUGGCCAAGCAUGCUGCUGUGGCCGGAUCUGCCCAGCUGUGGAACAGAGACAUUUGCCGGAUGGAAAAUCCAUAAAAGAAAGCUCCUGUGAAAGCCGGAGACAGACGCUAAGUAAAAUCAGAUGAAGCAGAAUCAGAUCAACCCAGUCACAUUCAGUGAACCAGUACAAGAACGAAGAGAGUAUCCAGAAUCUGCUUUCAUUUGGAGAAACCACAUUUUUGUGUAGAUGUGUAGUGGAGAUGUUUAUGAUAAAUGUUAGUAGAGUUUGGCAUAUUACAUCUGUUGAUUUUUUGCUUGUCUUUAUAGUUUUUAUGUGAAAUAAUCGUGAAUUAUUAGGUUUCCUUAAAAAGCCUUCAAAGAUACCAUACUCGAGUGACUUAUAAUCAAUUGUUAUUUAUUUUAAUGUAAUUACUAAUAUAAGAACAAGCAGUCGUUUCUCAGUCCUAUAUUGACCUGUA
This 1340-nucleotide long non-coding RNA is filed under the name Ursus maritimus (polar bear). Its description in RNAcentral is "lncRNA (ENSUMAG00000001142.1)". The record is from RNAcentral. Lineage: Eukaryota; Metazoa; Chordata; Mammalia; Carnivora; Ursidae.